GAGCUGACACGUGUUGUAUUGCAGGUGGACGUGUGCGCGCGCUCGGCGCCCGUCACGCGAAUCAGCGGCCACGUUAAUGUCACCGUCAACAGUGUUCCCGCUCUCAAGCUGGCUAUCCGGCGACACGCGCCCACCGUUGUGAUCGUCGACGCGACAGCCAAAAGCUUCACCACUUACUCCAAGGGAGUGCUGUACGACGAACGCUGCGGCAAGUCGCGCCGGCCGCUGAACCACGCGGUGCUGGCGGUGGGGUGGGGCGAGCGGCGCGGCGAGCCGCACUUCAUCCUCAAGAACUCGUGGUCGAGCGCGUGGGGCGAGGGCGGCUACGUGCGCGUGCAGGCGCGCGGCAACACGUGCGGCGUGCUCAGCCGCCCCUCCUACCCGCGCCUCGAGCGCGAGGACGUGCUGCGCGCCCCGCCGCCCGCGCCCUCGCCCUCGCCCGCCUUUCCCACACAGCCAGAAGACACCUGAGCCGAGCCUGCUAUAAAUAAUGUGCCAUUUUUGAAAUAGUAAAGAUUCCUUAUAAAA
Papilio polytes (common Mormon) is the source of this 528-nucleotide long non-coding RNA. RefSeq lists it as uncharacterized. The record is from RefSeq and is a predicted model, not a curated record. NCBI's taxonomy places the organism in Eukaryota, Metazoa, Arthropoda, Insecta, Lepidoptera, Papilionidae. The transcript has 3 exons.